Molecule: ribosomal RNA, 440 nt
Filed under: uncultured bacterium
Lineage: Bacteria
Description: partial 16S ribosomal RNA
Rfam family: Bacterial small subunit ribosomal RNA
Source: RNAcentral
CCUACGGGUGGCAGCAGUGGGGGAUAUUGCACAAUGCGGGAAACACUGAUGCAGCGACGCCGCGUGGGUGAAGAAGCGCCUCGGCGCGUAAAGCCCUGUCAGCAGGGAAGAAAAUGACGGUACCUGACGAAGAAGCCCCGGCUAACUACGUGCCAGCAGCCGCGGUAAUACGUAGGGGGCAAGCGUUAUCCGGAGUGACUGGGUGUAACGGGGGCGCAGACGGCGAUGCAAGCCAGGAGUGAAAGCCCGGGGCCCAACCCCGGGACAGCUCGUGGAACUGCGUGGCUAGAGUGCAGGAGGGGCAGGCGGAAUUCCUGGUGUAGCGGUGAAAUGCGUAGAUAUCAGGAGGAAUACCGGUGGUGAAGGCGGCCUGCUGGCCUGCAACUGACGUUGAGGCCCGAAAGCGUGGGGAGCAAACAGGAUUAGAUACCCGGGUAGUC